RNAcentral lists this ribosomal RNA (462 nucleotides) under uncultured bacterium. RNAcentral describes it as "SSU rRNA". It matches the Rfam family "Bacterial small subunit ribosomal RNA", at positions 26 to 518 of the family's 1533-position model. The record is from RNAcentral.
AGGACGAACGCUGGCGGCGUGCUUAACACAUGCAAGUGGAGCGACGAACCAGGCUUCGGCCUGGGGCAGAGCCGCGAACGGGUGAGUAACACGUGGGAACCUUCCUAGGGGUACGGAACAACUCAGGGAAACUUGAGCUAAUACCGUAUACGUCCGUGAGGAGAAAGUUUUAACGCCCCUAGACGGGCCCGCGUAGGAUUAGGUAGUUGGUGAGGUAACGGCUCACCAAGCCUACGAUCCUUAGCUGAUCUGAGAGGAUGAUCAGCCACACUGGGACUGAGACACGGCCCAGACUCCUACGGGAGGCAGCAGUGGGGAAUCUUGGACAAUGGGCGCAAGCCUGAUCCAGCCAUGCCGCGUGAGUGAAGAAGGCCUUCGGGUUGUAAACCUCUUUCAGCAGGGACGAAGCGUGAGUGACGGUACCUGCAGAGAAGCGCCGGCCAACUACGUGCCAGCAGCCGC